Molecule: ribosomal RNA, 1237 nt
Rfam family: Bacterial small subunit ribosomal RNA
GAAGCCCAGCUUGCUGGGUGGAUUAGUGGCGAACGGGUGAGUAACACGUGAGUAACCUGCCCUUAACUCUGGGAUAAGCCUGGGAAACUGGGUCUAAUACCGGAUAGGAGCGUCCACCGCAUGGUGGGUGUUGGAAAGAUUUAUCGGUUUUGGAUGGACUCGCGGCCUAUCAGCUUGUUGGUGAGGUAAUGGCUCACCAAGGCGACGACGGGUAGCCGGCCUGAGAGGGUGACCGGCCACACUGGGACUGAGACACGGCCCAGACUCCUACGGGAGGCAGCAGUGGGGAAUAUUGCACAAUGGGCGCAAGCCUGAUGCAGCGACGCCGCGUGAGGGAUGACGGCCUUCGGGUUGUAAACCUCUUUCAGUAGGGAAGAAGCGAAAGUGACGGUACCUGCAGAAGAAGCACCGGCUAACUACGUGCCAGCAGCCGCGGUAAUACGUAGGGUGCGAGCGUUAUCCGGAAUUAUUGGGCGUAAAGAGCUCGUAGGCGGUUUGUCGCGUCUGUCGUGAAAGUCCGGGGCUUAACCCCGGAUCUGCGGUGGGUACGGGCAGACUAGAGUGCAGUAGGGGAGACUGGAAUUCCUGGUGUAGCGGUGGAAUGCGCAGAUAUCAGGAGGAACACCGAUGGCGAAGGCAGGUCUCUGGGCUGUAACUGACGCUGAGGAGCGAAAGCAUGGGGAGCGAACAGGAUUAGAUACCCUGGUAGUCCAUGCCGUAAACGUUGGGCACUAGGUGUGGGGACCAUUCCACGGUUUCCGCGCCGCAGCUAACGCAUUAAGUGCCCCGCCUGGGGAGUACGGCCGCAAGGCUAAAACUCAAAGGAAUUGACGGGGGCCCGCACAAGCGGCGGAGCAUGCGGAUUAAUUCGAUGCAACGCGAAGAACCUUACCAAGGCUUGACAUGUUCUCGAUCGCCGUAGAGAUACGGUUUCCCCUUUGGGGCGGGUUCACAGGUGGUGCAUGGUUGUCGUCAGCUCGUGUCGUGAGAUGUUGGGUUAAGUCCCGCAACGAGCGCAACCCUCGUUCCAUGUUGCCAGCACGUAAUGGUGGGGACUCAUGGGAGACUGCCGGGGUCAACUCGGAGGAAGGUGAGGACGACGUCAAAUCAUCAUGCCCCUUAUGUCUUGGGCUUCACGCAUGCUACAAUGGCCGGUACAAUGGGUUGCGAUACUGUGAGGUGGAGCUAAUCCCAAAAAGCCGGUCUCAGUUCGGAUUGGGGUCUGCAACUCGACCCC